UGGGGAAUAUUGCACAAUGGGCGCAAGCCUGAUGCAGCCAUGCCGCGUGUAUGAAGAAGGCCUUCGGGUUGUAAAGUACUUUCAGCGGGGAGGAAGGUGUUGAGGUUAAUAACCUCAGCAAUUGACGUUACCCGCAGAAGAAGCACCGGCUAACUCCGUGCCAGCAGCCGCGGUAAUACGGAGGGUGCAAGCGUUAAUCGGAAUUACUGGGCGUAAAGCGCACGCAGGCGGUCUGUCAAGUCGGAUGUGAAAUCCCCGGGCUCAACCUGGGAACUGCAUUCGAAACUGGCAGGCUAGAGUCUUGUAGAGGGGGGUAGAAUUACAGGUGUAGCGGUGAAAUGCGUAGAGAUCUGGAGGAAUACCGGUGGCGAAGGCGGCCCCCUGGACAAAGACUGACGCUCAGGUGCGAAAGCGUGGGGAGCAAACAGG
This 429-nucleotide ribosomal RNA is filed under the name Acidobacteriota bacterium. RNAcentral describes it as "Acidobacteria bacterium partial 16S ribosomal RNA". It matches the Rfam family "Bacterial small subunit ribosomal RNA", at positions 355 to 776 of the family's 1533-position model. Lineage: Bacteria; Pseudomonadati; Acidobacteriota. The record is from RNAcentral.